RNAcentral lists this transfer RNA (80 nucleotides) under Netrium digitus. Its description in RNAcentral is "tRNA-Leu". It matches the Rfam family "tRNA". Rfam says of the family: Transfer RNA (tRNA) molecules are approximately 80 nucleotides in length. The record is from RNAcentral. Lineage: Eukaryota; Viridiplantae; Streptophyta; Zygnematophyceae; Zygnematales; Zygnemataceae.
GCCGCCAUGGUGAAACUGGUAGACACGCUGCUCUUAGGAAGCAGUGCUAUAGCAUCUCGGUUCGAAUCCGAGUGGCGGCA